Molecule: ribosomal RNA, 373 nt
Filed under: uncultured organism
Description: partial 16S ribosomal RNA
Rfam family: Bacterial small subunit ribosomal RNA
Source: RNAcentral
GUAGGUGGCAAGCGUUGUCCGGAAUUAUUGGGCGUAAAGCGCGCGCAGGCGGUUCUUUAAGUCUGAUGUGAAAGCCCACGGGCUCAACCGUGGAGGGUCAUUGGAAACUGGAGAACUUGAGUACAGAAGAGGAAAGCGGAAUUCCACGUGUAGCGGUGAAAUGCGUAGAGAUGUGGAGGAACACCAGUGGCGAAGGCGGCUUUCUGGUCUGUAACUGACGCUGAGGCGCGAAAGCGUGGGGAGCAAACAGGAUUAAAUACCCUGGUAGUCCACGCCGUAAACGAUGAGUGCUAAGUGUUAGGGGGUUUCCGCCCCUUAGUGCUGCAGCUAACGCAUUAAGCACUCCGCCUGGGGAGUACGGCCGCAAAGGCUG